Molecule: long non-coding RNA, 1026 nt
Filed under: Homo sapiens (human)
Lineage: Eukaryota; Metazoa; Chordata; Mammalia; Primates; Hominidae
Description: HSALNT0292578
Source: RNAcentral
AGAACAAUGCGGGAGUUGCAGAGAGAGGUGUCCUGUGUUUGUUCCCAGUCUUCCUUCACUCACCUGCACCUGCUCCUGCCCUGCUUCGGCCAACAUGUUCUAUGCAGGUCUACUCUGUGAAAAGGAAAUGAUCAUACAUAAUUCAUGCAUUUGCUGUACGGAUUUAAUUAAAUGAUAGACAAAAAGUAGAGUGGCACAAGUCAAACUCAAAAAAUAGUAACAACAAAAUCAAUUUCAAAAUAAGCAACAGCAAUAAAUGUUACCUACUAUUUUACGAAUGAAAAUACUGAGACCAAUAAAGGCAUUAUAGUAUACAUAGCCUUGGAAUCAGAAGACCAAGAACAUACAAGAGAACAUAGCCUUGGAAUCAGAAGACCAAGAAACAAUUUAACUCUGCCCCUCUAGAGCUCUGAGAACUUGGGCAAGCCUUUUACCCUCUUGAAUUUUUGCCACCUUCAAUGAGAAAGACUGAAACAAAAAACUCAGAAGAAAGAAAGAGACUGAGAUAGCAAAUAUGACAAACUGUUAAAAAUUCAUGAAUCUGUUAUGGAAUACUAUGCAGCCAUAAAAAAGGAUGAGUUCCUGUCCUUUGCAAGGACGUGUAUGAAGCUGGAAACCAUCAUUCUGAGCAAACUAAAACAGGAACAGAAAACCAAACACCACAUGUUCUCACUCAUAAGUGGGAGUUGAACAAUGAGAACACAUGGACACGGCGGGGUGGUGGGAACAUCACACACCGGGGCCUGUCAGAGGGGAGGGGGCUAGGGGAGAGAUAGCAUUAGGAGAAAUACCUAAUGUAGAUGAUGGGUUGAUGGGUGCAGCAAACCACCAUGGCAUGUGUAUACCUAUGUAACAAACCUGCAUGUUCUGCACAUGUAUCCCAGAACUUAAAGUAUAAUAAUAAAAAGAGAGAUUAAAAAAAUUGGUGAAUCUGGGCAAAAUGUACACAGGAUUUUUCUGUACUGUUCUUGCAACUUUUCUACAGAUUUGAAAUGUUACAAAAUAAAAGGUAUUUUUAGAAAAAGA